UCCGGUUUGUCACCGGCGGUUUCUUCAGAGUGCUCGACCGAAUCGGUAGCAACUGAAGACGAGGGUUGCGCUCGUUGCGGGACUUAACCCAACAUCUCACGACACGAGCUGACGACAGCCAUGCAGCACCUGUGUGCGCUGGUAUUGCUACCUCGUCAGGCUUUCACCCUUCUACUACGUACAUGUCAAGGCCAGGUAAGGUUCUUCGCGUUGCAUCGAAUUGAGCCACAUACUCCACCGCUUGUGCAGGCCCCCGUCAAUUUCUUUGAGUUUUAAUCUUGCGACCGUACUUCCCAGGCGGCACGUUUAACGCGUUAGCUUCGCCACAAAAGGGGUCGAUUCCUCUUACAUCAAACGUGCACCGUUUACAGCCAGGACUAC
RNAcentral lists this unclassified non-coding RNA (381 nucleotides) under uncultured Verrucomicrobiae bacterium. RNAcentral describes it as "contains 16S-23S intergenic spacer region". Lineage: Bacteria; Pseudomonadati; Verrucomicrobiota; Verrucomicrobiia. The record is from RNAcentral.